UGGCUAACUCCUACGGGAGGCAGCAGUGGGGAAUAUUGGACAAUGGGCGAAAGCCUGAUCCAGCCAUGCCGCGUGUGUGAAGAAGGUCUUCGGAUUGUAAAGCACUUUAAGUUGGGAGGAAGGGCAUUAACCUAAUACGUUAGUGUCUUGACGUUACCGAAAGAAUAAGCACCGGCUAACUCUGUACCAGCAGCCGCGGUAAUACAGAGGGUGCAAGCGUUAAUCGGAAUUACUGGGCGUAAAGCGCGCGUAGGUGGUUUGUUAAGUUGAGGGUGAAAUCCCCGGGCUCAACCUGGAAACUGCAUCCAAAACUGGCAAGCUAGAGUAUGGUAGAGGGUAGUGGAAUUUCCUGUGUAGCGGUGAAAUGCGUAGAUAUAGGAAGGAACACCAGUGGCGAAGGCGACUACCUGGACUGAUACUGACACUGAGGUGCGAAAGCGUGGGGAGCAAACGGGAUUAGAUACCCCUGUAGUCCAGCUGG
Molecule: ribosomal RNA, 481 nt
Filed under: uncultured bacterium
Lineage: Bacteria
Description: bacterial SSU rRNA
Rfam family: Bacterial small subunit ribosomal RNA
Source: RNAcentral